Molecule: long non-coding RNA, 251 nt
Organism: Rosa chinensis
Lineage: Eukaryota; Viridiplantae; Streptophyta; Magnoliopsida; Rosales; Rosaceae
Exons: 3
Source: RefSeq, a predicted model, not a curated record
GUACAAAACUGGAGUCAAAAUGCGAAGUCUUCAUAGAAAACUUGAGGAGAGGAUUUAAGAAUCACCUUUUGGGGUCAUGCUGCUAGACAGGUUGAUAUAGAAAGUGUGAAGAGAAAAUCUCCACCAGUGCUCGCUGUAUUCACAAGUUUAAUAAUAGGCAAAUAUCUGGAGCGAGUCACAGCAACAGCAACAAAUCAUACUUGCAUGAUCAUCGAUCCACACAAUUCAGCGGCAAGUGAAUACAGAGCUGA